GGUUAAGCGACUAAGCGUACACGGUGGAUGCCCUGGCAGUCAGAGGCGAUGAAGGGCGUGCUAAUCUGCGAUAAGCGCCGGUAAGGUGAUAUGAACCGUUAUAACCGGCGAUACCCGAAUGGGGAAACCCAGUGUGAUUCGUCACACUAUCAUUACGUGAAUACAUAGCGUAAUGAAGCGAACCGGGGGAACUGAAACAUCUAAGUACCCCGAGGAAAAGAAAUCAACCGAGAUUCCCCCAGUAGCGGCGAGCGAACGGGGAGGAGCCCAGAGCCUGAAUCAGCAUGUGUGUUAGUGGAAGCGUCUGGAAAGGCGCGCGAUACAGGGUGACAGCCCCGUACACAAAAGCGCAUGUGUUGUGAGCUCGAUGAGUAGGGCGGGACACGUGGUAUCCUGUCUGAAUAUGGGGGGACCAUCCUCCAAGGCUAAAUACUCCUGACUGACCGAUAGUGAACCAGUACCGUGAGGGAAAGGCGAAAAGAACCCCGGCGAGGGGAGUGAAAAAGAACCUGAAACCGUGUACGUACAAGCAGUGGGAGCACCCUUUGGGGUGUGACUGCGUACCUUUUGUAUAAUGGGUCAGCGACUUAUAUUCUGUAGCAAGGUUAACCGAAUAGGGGAGCCGGAGGGAAACCGAGUCUUAAUUGGGCGUUAAGUUGCAGGGUAUAGACCCGAAACCCGGUGAUCUAGCCAUGGGCAGGUUGAAGGUUGGGUAACACUAACUGGAGGACCGAACCGACUAAUGUUGAAAAAUUAGCGGAUGACCUGUGGCUGGGGGUGAAAGGCCAAUCAAACCGGGAGAUAGCUGGUUCUCCCCGAAAGCUAUUUAGGUAGCGCCUCGUGAAUUCAUCUCCGGGGGUAGAGCACUGUUUCGGCUAGGGGGCCAUCCCGGCUUACCAACCCGAUGCAAACUGCGAAUACCGGAGAAUGUUAUCACGGGAGACACACGGCGGGUGCUAACGUCCGUCGUGAAGAGGGAAACAACCCAGACCGCCAGCUAAGGUCCCAAAGUCAUGGUUAAGUGGGAAACGAUGUGGGAAGGCCCAGACAGCCAGGAUGUUGGCUUAGAAGCAGCCAUCAUUUAAAGAAAGCGUAAUAGCUCACUGGUCGAGUCGGCCUGCGCGGAAGAUGUAACGGGGCUAAACCAUGCACCGAAGCUGCGGCAGCGACACUGUGUGUUGUUGGGUAGGGGAGCGUUCUGUAAGCCUGUGAAGGUGUGUCGUGAGGCAUGCUGGAGGUAUCAGAAGUGCGAAUGCUGACAUAAGUAACGAUAAAGCGGGUGAAAAGCCCGCUCGCCGGAAGACCAAGGGUUCCUGUCCAACGUUAAUCGGGGCAGGGUGAGUCGACCCCUAAGGCGAGGCCGAAAGGCGUAGUCGAUGGGAAACGGGUUAAUAUUCCCGUACUUGGUGUUACUGCGAAGGGGGGACGGAGAAGGCUAUGUUGGCCGGGCGACGGUUGUCCCGGUUUAAGCGUGUAGGUGUGUGUUCCAGGUAAAUCCGGUUCACUUUAACACUGAGGCGUGACGACGAGGCACUACGGUGCUGAAGCAACAAAUGCCCUGCUUCCAGGAAAAGCCUCUAAGCAUCAGGUAACAUCAAAUCGUACCCCAAACCGACACAGGUGGUCAGGUAGAGAAUACCAAGGCGCUUGAGAGAACUCGGGUGAAGGAACUAGGCAAAAUGGUGCCGUAACUUCGGGAGAAGGCACGCUGACACGUAGGUGAAGUGAUUUACUCAUGGAGCUGAAGUCAGUCGAAGAUACCAGCUGGCUGCAACUGUUUAUUAAAAACACAGCACUGUGCAAACACGAAAGUGGACGUAUACGGUGUGACGCCUGCCCGGUGCCGGAAGGUUAAUUGAUGGGGUCAGCGCAAGCGAAGCUCCUGAUCGAAGCCCCGGUAAACGGCGGCCGUAACUAUAACGGUCCUAAGGUAGCGAAAUUCCUUGUCGGGUAAGUUCCGACCUGCACGAAUGGCGUAAUGAUGGCCAGGCUGUCUCCACCCGAGACUCAGUGAAAUUGAACUCGCUGUGAAGAUGCAGUGUACCCGCGGCAAGACGGAAAGACCCCGUGAACCUUUACUAUAGCUUGACACUGAACAUUGAGCCUUGAUGUGUAGGAUAGGUGGGAGGCUUUGAAGUGUGGACGCCAGUCUGCAUGGAGCCGACCUUGAAAUACCACCCUUUAAUGUUUGAUGUUCUAACGUGGACCCGUGAUCCGGGUUGCGGACAGUGUCUGGUGGGUAGUUUGACUGGGGCGGUCUCCUCCUAAAGAGUAACGGAGGAGCACGAAGGUUGGCUAAUCCUGGUCGGACAUCAGGAGGUUAGUGCAAUGGCAUAAGCCAGCUUGACUGCGAGCGUGACGGCGCGAGCAGGUGCGAAAGCAGGUCAUAGUGAUCCGGUGGUUCUGAAUGGAAGGGCCAUCGCUCAACGGAUAAAAGGUACUCCGGGGAUAACAGGCUGAUACCGCCCAAGAGUUCAUAUCGACGGCGGUGUUUGGCACCUCGAUGUCGGCUCAUCACAUCCUGGGGCUGAAGUAGGUCCCAAGGGUAUGGCUGUUCGCCAUUUAAAGUGGUACGCGAGCUGGGUUUAGAACGUCGUGAGACAGUUCGGUCCCUAUCUGCCGUGGGCGCUGGAGAACUGAGGGGGGCUGCUCCUAGUACGAGAGGACCGGAGUGGACGCAUCACUGGUGUUCGGGUUGUCAUGCCAAUGGCACUGCCCGGUAGCUAAAUGCGGAAGAGAUAAGUGCUGAAAGCAUCUAAGCACGAAACUUGCCCCGAGAUGAGUUCUCCCUGAGACUUAGAGUCUCCUGAAGGAACGUUGAAGACGACGACGUUGAUAGGCCGGGUGUGUAAGCGCAGCGAUGCGUUGAGCUAACCGGUACUAAUGAACCGUGAGGCUUAACCUU
Molecule: ribosomal RNA, 2905 nt
Filed under: Salmonella enterica subsp. enterica serovar Newport
Lineage: Bacteria; Pseudomonadati; Pseudomonadota; Gammaproteobacteria; Enterobacterales; Enterobacteriaceae
Description: 23S ribosomal RNA
Rfam family: Bacterial large subunit ribosomal RNA
Source: RNAcentral